ACAAAUUUCGUUAAUUACCACUCACCAACACAAGUUCCAAAGGCCUGUAUGUAAUCGAAUCUCCCCUCAUGCUUCUCAUGUUCUUAAUUUAUUAUGACACAUCCUUUGUUUCUUGCACUGGCCACCGUCAUGACAUUCACAGUUGAUGAAAUGGAUGAUUGAUCUGAACGGUCUCGAAGUUCAGAUUGAUGGUGUGAUUUCCAUUGUCGAAAUUGUCAUUAAUGCAAACCAGCUCUUGGCUCUGUAGAGGCAAAGUUCUUACUGGAUUUUGGCGUGUUGCAACAUCCAAUAAGCCUGUGGGGUAAGUCUUAUCAAUCUAAAGUCUUGCAACAACAAAUCAUUUUGCUGCAUGAAAAUUGCAGUCUUUAUUGUAAUUUCAGGCAUAAUGCAUCAAUUUCAAGUACUCACAGGAUUGUGUGGUAAAGAUUGAAGACUUGGCAGCAAGCGAAACCUCCCAUGUUGUCUAGUUUUAUUAACCCCCUUCAGAUGCUCCUGCAAACCUCUUAAAUCUUAUUUCAUAAGCAAACUAAGGAAAACGAGUAAAAUGCAAG
This 551-nucleotide long non-coding RNA is filed under the name Citrus sinensis (sweet orange). RNAcentral describes it as "long non-coding RNA (CSIN_LNC004946)". The record is from RNAcentral. Lineage: Eukaryota; Viridiplantae; Streptophyta; Magnoliopsida; Sapindales; Rutaceae.